Molecule: long non-coding RNA, 793 nt
Organism: Quercus robur (English oak)
Lineage: Eukaryota; Viridiplantae; Streptophyta; Magnoliopsida; Fagales; Fagaceae
Exons: 4
Source: RefSeq, a predicted model, not a curated record
CUCUAAUCUAAUUGAAAGAUUCAUUCCACGUUUGGGAAAUUGGAUUGGAAAUUUAAUCACACAAGGACAAUGUAACAUUGAUUGAGAGGAAGAGAAAUCCCAGUGAAAGUGGUGGCUUUGAUGAAUCUGUACAGCUAAAUUUUUUUGUCCCCGUACUGGAUACGAUGAAGUUGUUGGACUUUGUAGUUUAUUGGUAAGGAGAAACUGUGGCAUUGUCUGGAUCAAAGAAGAUAUGUGCAACAGAUAGCACACUCAUGAUUAUUAAUUUUGUAGGGUAAAGUAGAUGCUCUUGUUGCUCUCUUGGUAUUCAAAAGGAAAGAAGAAAAUUAGGGCUGUUUUUCACCAGAGGUUGCCUUCUCUCAAGCCAACCAUGUGUGUGUUAUUUUUUUCCUCACUUCAUCAAUCAUUUCAAAGGUGAAUGGAUGUGGCUGUUACAUUGAAGCUGAAAGGUGCAAGUUGUUGCCUAAGCUUGGUAGUGCAGAAGUGUGGGCUUUGUCUCAUAACAGCAUGAUAAUACUCAGAGUUCAAGCAAACAGUUUGCAAUAGGGAGGAUUGAAGUUGUAGUAGUUAUUGGUGUUGCUGGCAAGGACUAGACACACAGAAAGCAUUGUCAUUGAUUAUGAACAAUAUACUUCUUCCCUUGUAAUCAAAUCUAUUGGGAUGGACCAUGAUAAAUUUAGAGUGAUGUAGUUUGUAUUUUUCUUCUGUUUGUUGUCAAAUGCAUGCUAAUCAUGUAAUCACUUGAAAGAGUUGUAUAAUACUAUAAUCUAUCUUGGGACAGAUAUUUCCUACC